GGAUAACUUACCCUUAGGACUGGGAUAACUCUGGGAAACUGGGGAUAAUACUGGAUAUUAGGCUAUGCCUGGAAUGGUUUGCCUUUGAAAUGUUUUUUUUCGCCUAAGGAUAGGUCUGCGGCUGAUUAGGUCGUUGGUGGGGUAAUGGCCCACCAAGCCGAUGAUCGGUACGGGUUGUGAGAGCAAGGGCCCGGAGAUGGAACCUGAGACAAGGUUCCAGACCCUACGGGGUGCAGCAGGCGCGAAACCUCCGCAAUGUACGAAAGUGCGACGGGGGGAUCCCAAGUGUUAUGCUUUUUUGUAUGACUUUUCAUUAGUGUAAAAAGCUUUUAGAAUAAGAGCUGGGCAAGACCGGUGCCAGCCGCCGCGGUAACACCGGCAGCUCGAGUGGUAGCUGUUUUUAUUGGGCCUAAAGCGUUCGUAGCCGGUUUGAUAAGUCUUUGGUGAAAGCUUGUAGCUUAACUAUAAGAAUUGCUGGAGAUACUAUUAGACUUGAAGUCGGGAGAGGUUAGAGGUACUACCGGGGUAGGGGUGAAAUCCUAUAAUCCUGGGAGGACCACCUGUGGCGAAGGCGUCUAACUGGAACGAUCUUGACGGUGAGUAACGAAAGCCAGGGGCGCGAACCGGAUUAGAUACCCGGGUAGUCCUGGCCGUAAACGAUGUGGACUUGGUGUUGGAAUGGCUUUGAGUUGUUCCGGUGCCGAAAGGGAAGCUGUUAAGUCCACCGCCUGGGAAG
This 736-nucleotide ribosomal RNA is filed under the name uncultured archaeon. RNAcentral describes it as "bacterial SSU rRNA". It matches the Rfam family "Archaeal small subunit ribosomal RNA", at positions 102 to 835 of the family's 1478-position model. The record is from RNAcentral.